RNAcentral lists this ribosomal RNA (580 nucleotides) under uncultured bacterium. RNAcentral describes it as "partial 16S ribosomal RNA". It matches the Rfam family "Bacterial small subunit ribosomal RNA", at positions 355 to 932 of the family's 1533-position model. The record is from RNAcentral.
UGGGGAAUUUUGGACAAUGGGCGCAAGCCUGAUCCAGCCAUGCCGCGUGCGGGAAGAAGGCCUUCGGGUUGUAAACCGCUUUUGUCAGGGAAGAAAUCUUCUGAGUUAAUACCUCGGGAGGAUGACGGUACCUGAAGAAUAAGCACCGGCUAACUACGUGCCAGCAGCCGCGGUAAUACGUAGGGUGCAAGCGUUAAUCGGAAUUACUGGGCGUAAAGCGUGCGCAGGCGGUUUUGUAAGACAGAGGUGAAAUCCCCGGGCUCAACCUGGGAACUGCCUUUGUGACUGCAAGGCUUGAGUGCGGCAGAGGGGGGAUGGAAUUCCGCGUGUAGCAGUGAAAUGCGUAGAUAUGCGGAGGAACACCGAUGGCGAAGGCAAUCCCCUGGGCCUGCACUGACGCUCAUGCACGAAAGCGUGGGGAGCAAACAGGAUUAGAUACCCUGGUAGUCCACGCCCUAAACGAUGUCAACUGGUUGUUGGGAAGGUUCCUUCUCAGUAACGUAGCUAACGCGUGAAGUUGACCGCCUGGGGAGUACGGCCGCAAGGUUGAAACUCAAAUGAAUUGACGGGGUCAUAGCUG